Molecule: long non-coding RNA, 200 nt
Organism: Balaenoptera acutorostrata (minke whale)
Lineage: Eukaryota; Metazoa; Chordata; Mammalia; Artiodactyla; Balaenopteridae
Exons: 3
Source: RefSeq, a predicted model, not a curated record
GACCUUUGUCUCAACGCUGGAGCGAUUCCGAGAGGAAGAUGUUCCUGUGCAGUUUGACCUCCCGGAGCCGUCCCUGGGGACCACGGUGGCUGCUGUGGAUCAGAGUCCCUCGCAGGUCCGCUUGCCAGCCAGAGGAGGUACUGAGGAUGCCAGGGGCCUCUUCUGGGUCCUGGAUGAGGAGGUCCGGGUGGAGGGCUCCG